GAACGAGAAAGGGUAGCAAUACCUGAGUAAAGUGGCGCACGGGUGAGUAACACGUGACUAACCUACCCUGGAGUGGGGGAUAACUGAGGGAAACCUUAGCUAAUACCGCAUAAUACCUACGGGUCAAAGGAGCAAUUCGCUUUGGGAGGGGGUCGCGGCCGAUUAGUUAGUUGGCGGGGUAAUGGCCCACCAAGACGAUGAUCGGUAUCCGGCCUGAGAGGGCGCACGGACACACUGGAACUGAAACACGGUCCAGACUCCUACGGGAGGCAGCAGUGGGGAAUUUUGCGCAAUGGGGGAAACCCUGACGCAGCAACGCCGCGUGGAGGAUGAAGUCCUUCGGGACGUAAACUCCUUUCGAUCGGGACGAUUAUGACGGUACCGGAAGAAGAAGCCCCGGCUAACUUCGUGCCAGCAGCCGCGGUAAUACGAGGGGGGCGAGCGUUGUUCGGAAUUAUUGGGCGUAAAGGGUGCGUAGGCGGUUUGGUAAGUCUGAUGUGAAAUCUAUGGGCUCAACUCAUAGUCUGCAUCGGAAACUGCCGGGCUUGAGUGUGGGAGAGGUGAGUGGAAUUUCCGGUGUAGCGGUGAAAUGCGUAGAUAUCGGAAGGAACACCUGUGGCGAAAGCGGCUCACUGGACCACAACUGACGCUGAUGCACGAAAGCUAGGGGAGCAAACAGGAUUAGAUACCCUGGUAGUCCUAGCCCUAAACGAUGACUGCUUGGUGUGACGGGUACC
RNAcentral lists this ribosomal RNA (737 nucleotides) under uncultured bacterium. Its description in RNAcentral is "bacterial SSU rRNA". It matches the Rfam family "Bacterial small subunit ribosomal RNA", at positions 64 to 833 of the family's 1533-position model. The record is from RNAcentral.